UCCGAGUUGUAAUUUAGAGAAGCGUUUUCCGCGCUGGACCGUGCACAAGUCUCCUGGAAUGGAGCGUCAUAGAGGGUGAGAAUCCCGUCUUUGGCACGGACACACCAGGGCUUUUGUGAUGCGCUCUCGAAGAGUCGAGUUGUUUGGGAAUGCAGCUCAAAAUGGGUGGUGAACUCCAUCUAAAGCUAAAUAUUGGCGAGAGACCGAUAGCGAACAAGUACCGUGAGGGAAAGAUGAAAAGCACUUUGGAAAGAGAGUGAAACAGUACGUGAAAUUGUUGAAAGGGAAACGCUUGAAGUCAGUCGCGUCGACCGAGACUCAGCCUUGCCUUGGCUUGGUGUACUUCUCGGCUGACGGGUCAGCAUCAAUUUUGCCCCUUGGAUAAUGGCGAGGGAAAUGUGACACCUUUAUGGUGUGUUAUAGUCCCUUGUCGCAUGCAAGGGUUGGGAUUGAGGAACUCAGCACGCACCUUUGGGUGUCGGGGCUUUGCCCACGAUACGUGCUUAGGAUGUUGGCGUAAUGGCUUUAAACGACCCGUCUUGAAACACGGACCAAGGAGUCUAACAUGCCUGCGAGUGUUCGGGUGGAAAACCCGUGCGCGCAAUGAAAGUGAAAGUUGGGACCUCUGUCGUGGAGGGCACCGACGCCCGGACCAGACCUUCUGUGACGGCUCUGCGGUAAAGCAUGUAUGUUAGGACCCGAAAGAUGGUGAACUAUGCCUGACUAUGGUGAAGCCAGAGGAAACUCUGGUGGAGGCUCGUAGCGAUUCUGACGUGCAAAUCGAUCGUCAAAUUUGGGUAUAGGGGCGAAAGACUAAUCGAACCAU
Molecule: ribosomal RNA, 826 nt
Filed under: Russula vinosa
Lineage: Eukaryota; Fungi; Basidiomycota; Agaricomycetes; Russulales; Russulaceae
Description: eukaryotic LSU rRNA
Rfam family: Eukaryotic large subunit ribosomal RNA
Source: RNAcentral